This 433-nucleotide ribosomal RNA is filed under the name uncultured bacterium. Its description in RNAcentral is "partial 16S ribosomal RNA". It matches the Rfam family "Bacterial small subunit ribosomal RNA", at positions 29 to 507 of the family's 1533-position model. The record is from RNAcentral.
AACGAACGCUGGCGGCAGGCCUGACACAUGCAAGUCGAGCGAGGACUUCGGUCCUAGCGGCGGACGGGUGAGUAACGCGUGGGAACGUGCCCUUUGCUUCGGAAUAGCCCUGGGAAACUGGGAGUAAUACCGGAUGAGCCCUUUGGGGGAAAGAUUUAUCGGCGAAGGAUCGGCCCGCGUUGGAUUAGGUAGUUGGUGGGGUAAUGGCCUACCAAGCCGACGAUCCAUAGCUGGUUUGAGAGGAUGAUCAGCCACACUGGGACUGAGACACGGCCCAGACUCCUACGGGAGGCAGCAGUGGGGAAUCUUAGACAAUGGGGGAAACCCUGAUCUAGCCAUGCCGCGUGAGCGAUGAAGGCCUUAGGGUUGUAAAGCUCUUUCAGCUGGGAAGAUAAUGACGGUACCAGCAGAAGAAGCCCCGGCUAACUCCGUG